RNAcentral lists this ribosomal RNA (492 nucleotides) under uncultured bacterium. RNAcentral's name for it is "partial 16S ribosomal RNA". It matches the Rfam family "Bacterial small subunit ribosomal RNA", at positions 29 to 507 of the family's 1533-position model. The record is from RNAcentral.
AGUGAACGCUGGCGGUAGGCCUAACACAUGCAAGUCGAACGGCAGCACAGUAAGAGCUUGCUCUUACGGGUGGCGAGUGGCGGACGGGUGAGGAAUACAUCGGAAUCUACUUUUUCGUGGGGGAUAACGUAGGGAAACUUACGCUAAUACCGCAUACGACCUACGGGUGAAAGCAGGGGAUCUUCGGACCUUGCGCGAUUGAAUGAGCCGAUGUCGGAUUAGCUAGUUGGCGGGGUAAAGGCCCACCAAGGCGACGAUCCGUAGCUGGUCUGAGAGGAUGAUCAGCCACACUGGAACUGAGACACGGUCCAGACUCCUACGGGAGGCAGCAGUGGGGAAUAUUGGACAAUGGGCGCAAGCCUGAUCCACCCAUACCGCGUGGGUGAAGAAGGCCUUCGGGUUGUAAAGCCCUUUUGUUGGGAAAGAAAAGCAGCAGGUUAAUACCCCGCUGUUCUGACGGUACCCAAAGAAUAAGCACCGGCUAACCUCGUG